This 465-nucleotide ribosomal RNA is filed under the name uncultured bacterium. RNAcentral's name for it is "partial 16S ribosomal RNA". It matches the Rfam family "Bacterial small subunit ribosomal RNA", at positions 338 to 795 of the family's 1533-position model. The record is from RNAcentral.
CCUACGGGUGGCAGCAGUGGGGAAUAUUGCGCAAUGGGCGAAAGCCUGACGCAGCGACGCCGCGUGAGGGAUGAAGGUCUUCGGAUCGUAAACCUCUGUCAGCAUGGAAGAACGGUCACUGUGCUAAUCAGCAGUGAAUUGACGGUACCUGCAAAGGAAGCACCGGCUAACUCCGUGCCAGCAGCCGCGGUAAUACGGAGGGUGCGAGCGUUAAUCGGAAUUACUGGGCGUAAAGCGCUCGUAGGCGGUAUGUCAAGUCAAGGGUGAAAUCCCCGCGCUCAACGUGGGAACUGCCUUUGAAACUGGCAAACUGGAGUAUGGGAGAGGUGAGUGGAAUUCCAGGUGUAGGAGUGAAAUGCGUAGAUAUCUGGAGGAACAUCAGUGGCGAAGGCGACUAUCUGGCACAUAACUGACGCUGAGGAGCGAAAGCGUGGGUAGCAAACAGGAUUAGAUACCCGAGUAGUC